GAAGAGUUGAUCUCGAAGAAGCUUCUUUUUUGCUGUUAACGGUUUUUUUCAUAACAGCGCUGUAGAAAUGUCCAAAUAUUGCAUAUGGAAUGUCUCUUGUAACGUUUACGUCAAAACUUCUGUCAAUUGUCAUCGAAUAAAAACAAAAAAGAGGCAGAUUUUCAAUUUUGCAUUGCGAAGAUGUUUACGAACUAGAUGUCGGUAUGGAUGAGGUAAGGCCAACCCUCUAAAAGGAUAAUACCAAUUUGUGUCAGUUGUUCACCAGUUAACCGUGCACUGAAAUUACAAACACCUUUAAGAAAGUUAUUUUGAACAGCAAUAUAAGGGCACCAACGGUUUUCAAGUAGUCUAACUUUUGAAGACAAUUCCUCAGUUUAACAGGAAAUUCAGAACUUGCUUCUUUGAGCCCAGAUAAAUUGAAGAAACGCUGCAUUUGCGAAGUAUCGAUCUUUUAAAGAAAAAAAUAUCCUCAUCUGCCGUACCAUUGUCAUAUAAACAUCAAAAAGCAGAUGUACCUAUACGAGUCUACCAAGUUGAUACUGAGGGACCAUCGACAAGUUCCGGAGUUUAACAUUGAAACAUUGUUCGAUUUUUAACACCCACGAAAGAUUAUUCUGAUCCCGAAAGUGACAACGAAAACGAUGUACAUAAAAUUUUACAUGAAUUGACUAACUUGCCAUCGCCUAGUCGUAACAAGCCUGCCGUUGAUGAAAAUAAUAUGAAGCAUCCAAAGAAAAAAAUCAGGACACAAUUCAAUGGUGGUAGAAAGGUCGAGAAUUUACCAUUAGUUCCGAGAGCAAUCACGAGAAUGCAGUUAUUUCAUAAAAGGCGCGGAUCAUGGCAUUCGGACGAAGAAACAGCUGCUCUUGGAUUGUGUUACAAAUCACCGUCCGCCUACAAAUAUUUAAGGAAUAAAGGGUUUAUAUUACCAUCACCGACAACAAUUUCCCACUGGCUGUCCAAACAGAAAUACUAACCAGAAUUGAAUAAGGCCCGUCUAAAUGUAUUAAAAAUAAAAGUAGAAACAAUGUCAAAGCAAGAUAAGCAAUGCGUGUUAGUUUUCGAUGAAAUGGCCAUUAAACGACAACUUGAAUAGAAGGUUUCAUAGAAGGAUAUGAAGAUUUAGGGGAAUAUGGUCGAACCAGCAACCCGGCAAGCGAAUUAUCCUCGCAAUGGAUAAUUCCUCUUUCAUUUUAUUUAUCAUGCAACGAUGUAAAGGCCAAUAAUUUAGUAAAAAUAAUAAAAUCGACAUUUGCGUCGAUAAGCGAUAUUGGACUGAAUAUUGUUGCAAUUGUUUGUGAUCAGUCCCCUACAAACCAAAAAUUAUUUAAUUUAUUAAACGUAGCACCAAAUAAACCUUCUUUCAAAGUAGGCAAUAUGAGUUAUUUUGCACUAUACGAUACACCACAUCUCGUAAAAAGUGUACGAAAAUUUUAUUUUGAAUAAUAGCUGUAUUUCAUUUUCGGAUAUUCGUGGAGUAUACGAAUUGGAUAAAAGUAAUACCACGCAUAGGGCAUUGCCGAAACUCACGGAGACGCAUAUAAUGCCCAACACAUUUCAGAAAAUGAAUUGAACUGGCUCUUCACGUUUUAAGUCAUAGCAUUAGUGCGGCAAUACUUAGCAAGUGUGUAUAGCAAACAAAUUAGAACUAAGAAGAAAAGUUGUGCUGCUCUAUCGGAGCAGAACUUUUUCGGAUUUGAUGCCCUAAGAAGAGCGACUGAAGUGAUGAAAAACAUCAAAAAAGUUUCAAAGAGGAGCACCUUGUUUCGAUGGCAUACUACUUGCCAUCAAUUCGGUGAUAGGGUUGUAUCGACAACAAAAAGAAAAAGGCUAUAAUUAUCUCCUAACCUCAAAACUAAAUCAGCAUAUUCUUGAAAAUCAAUUUUCUAUAUAUAGACAGCGUGCAGGAUAUGCAAAAAAUCCCACCGUGGGUAACUUUCAAGCUGCCUUUAAAACCAACGUUGUAUGGAACCUUUUAAAACCACCAAAGACAGGAAAUUAUGAAGUAACUUCUGAAGCUGUCUUAAAUGUGCAGACAAAACAUAAUUUUUCGGAUAAGGUUUUUCAUCACCUUAUCUUUAAGCACAUCAUCGAUGUGAAGUACUGAUAGCGAUGAUGAAGAUGUGCAACAGACCUGCUUAGAAGAUUGUGCCACGGUAUAUUUCGCAGGAUUCAUUAUAAAAAAGUGUGUUGAUAAAUUUUCAUGUGAAAUGUGCCGUGAAUUAUUGACGAAAGAAGGUGAACUAACAUACAAUAAUGACAUUCUAAUUUUUAAACGAUGUUUAUUUAAAUUUUUGGGAGACUGGUUUUCUGUAUGUGAAGACCAGCGAAUUUUUAUGCUUCACUUACUAAUUAGAACAUUAAUAUACAAAGAAUGUAAAAAAGUUUCGCAAAACUUUAAAAGCCGUGGUAGAACCAAUAAAGUUACUAUUUUACAACAUAAGUAAUUUGUAAUUAUAAGUAAUUAGCGGGAUUUCUUGUUUUUUUGUUAUUAUUCAUGAUUUUCAUUAUUUUCAGUUAACACAAUAAAGUCCCCCUUAAAAAUGUUCAUGAAUGUUAUAAUAAAAUCAGAAAUACUUCGUUUUUAUUUAUUUAAUUGAUUCUAAUA
Molecule: non-coding RNA, 2608 nt
Organism: Onthophagus taurus
Lineage: Eukaryota; Metazoa; Arthropoda; Insecta; Coleoptera; Scarabaeidae
Source: RefSeq, a predicted model, not a curated record